GAUGAACGCUGGCGGCGUGCUUAACACAUGCAAGUCGAACGGGCUCUUCGGAGCUAGUGGCGGACGGGUGAGUAACGCGUGAGAAUCUGCCUACAGGACGGGGACAACAGUUGGAAACGGCUGCUAAUACCCGAUGUGCCGAGAGGUGAAACAUUUAUGGCCUGUAGAUGAGCUCGCGUCUGAUUAGCUAGUUGGUGGGGUAAGGGCCUACCAAGGCGACGAUCAGUAGCUGGUCUGAGAGGAUGAUCAGCCACACUGGGACUGAGACACGGCCCAGACUCCUACGGGAGGCAGCAGUGGGGAAUUUUCCGCAAUGGGCGCAAGCCUGACGGAGCAACGCCGCGUGGGGGAGGAAGGUUUUUGGACUGUAAACCCCUUUUCUCAGGGAAGAAGAAAGUGACGGUACCUGAGGAAUAAGCCUCGGCUAAUUCCGUGCCAGCAGCCGCGGUAAUACGGGAGAGGCAAGCGUUAUCCGGAAUUAUUGGGCGUAAAGCGUCCGCAGGCGGUUAAUCAAGUCUGUUGUCAAAGCGUGGGGCUCAACCUCAUAAAGGCAAUGGAAACUGAUUGACUAGAGUAUGGUAGGGGUAGCGGGAAUUCCAGGUGUAGCGGUGAAAUGCGUAGAUAUCUGGAAGAACACCAGCGGCGAAAGCGCGCUACUGGGCCAUAACUGACGCUCAUGGACGAAAGCUAGGGGAGCGAAAGGGAUUAGAUACCCCUGUAGUCCUAGCCGUAAACGAUGAACACUAGGUGUUGCGUGAAUCGACCCGCGCAGUGCCGUAGCCAACGCGUUAAGUGUUCCGCCUGGGGAGUACGCACGCAAGUGUGAAACUCAAAGGAAUUGACGGGGGCCCGCACAAGCGGUGGAGUAUGUGGUUUAAUUCGAUGCAACGCGAAGAACCUUACCAGGGUUUGACAUCCCCCGAAUCUCUUGGAAACGAGAGAGUGCCUUCGGGAGCGGGGAGACAGGUGGUGCAUGGCUGUCGUCAGCUCGUGUCGUGAGAUGUUGGGUUAAGUCCCGCAACGAGCGCAACCCACGUUUUUAGUUGCCAUCAUUCAGUUGGGCACUCUAGAGAAACUGCCGGUGACAAACCGGAGGAAGGUGUGGACGACGUCAAGUCAUCAUGCCCCUUACAUCCUGGGCUACACACGUACUACAAUGCUCCGGACAGCGAGACGCGAAGCCGCGAGGUGAAGCAAAUCUCCCAAACCGGGGCUCAGUUCAGAUUGCAGGCUGCAACUCGCCUGCAUGAAGGCGGAAUCGCUAGUAAUCGCAGGUCAGCAUACUGCGGUGAAUACGUUCCCGGGCCUUGUACACACCGCCCGUCACACCAUGGAAGUUGGCCAUGCCCGAAGUCGUUACCCUAACCGUUCGCGGAGGGGGGCGCCGAAGGUAGGGCUGAUGACUGGGGUGAA
Molecule: ribosomal RNA, 1413 nt
Filed under: Synechococcus elongatus CENA126
Lineage: Bacteria; Bacillati; Cyanobacteriota; Cyanophyceae; Synechococcales; Synechococcaceae
Description: bacterial SSU rRNA
Rfam family: Bacterial small subunit ribosomal RNA
Source: RNAcentral